GAUGAUAAAAAAAACUAGUAUAAAUUUGUGUGGUAAUUAUAUAUGAAAACUAACAAGAAGAUUGUAGAAAUAAUGGAAAUUCAAGAUGUCAAAAUUUAAUAAAUAUGGCUUGAAAUUUAGAGGGUUUUUUCAAGAAAAUGUUGAAGACAGUUUGAGAGAGAGAGAGAGAAGAUGUUUUUGUUUUGGAUAAGUGCAGGGAACAAGGGGGGUGAUACGUUUUUGUAGUAUGGGGAUCGAAAGGAUGGGUGAACGUGGACUUGUUCAAAG
This 267-nucleotide long non-coding RNA is filed under the name Panax ginseng (ginseng). Its description in RNAcentral is "long non-coding RNA (PGIN_LNC008379)". Lineage: Eukaryota; Viridiplantae; Streptophyta; Magnoliopsida; Apiales; Araliaceae. The record is from RNAcentral.